This 73-nucleotide transfer RNA is filed under the name Spirochaetales bacterium. RNAcentral describes it as "tRNA-Lys". It matches the Rfam family "tRNA". Rfam says of the family: Transfer RNA (tRNA) molecules are approximately 80 nucleotides in length. Lineage: Bacteria; Pseudomonadati; Spirochaetota; Spirochaetia; Spirochaetales. The record is from RNAcentral.
GGGCCAAUAGCUCAGUAGGUAGAGCAACGCCCUUUUAAGGCGUGGGUCGUUGGUUCAAACCCAACUUGGCUCA